RNAcentral lists this transfer RNA (61 nucleotides) under Mikadonius gracilis. Its description in RNAcentral is "tRNA-Ser". Lineage: Eukaryota; Metazoa; Arthropoda; Insecta; Coleoptera; Melandryidae. The record is from RNAcentral.
GAAAUAAUAAAAAAAAUAAGCUUCUAACUUAAUUUUAAAGCAUUAAUAUGUUUAUAUUUCU